This 389-nucleotide ribosomal RNA is filed under the name uncultured bacterium. Its description in RNAcentral is "bacterial SSU rRNA". It matches the Rfam family "Bacterial small subunit ribosomal RNA", at positions 30 to 416 of the family's 1533-position model. The record is from RNAcentral.
AUUGAACGCUGGCGGCAUGCUUUACACAUGCAAGUCGAACGGCAGCACGGGUGCUUGCACCUGGUGGCGAGUGGCGGACGGAUGAGUAAUACAUCGGAACGUGUCCUGAAGUGGGGGAUAACGCAUCGAAAGAUGUGCUAAUACCGCAUAUACUCUGAGGAGUAAAGUAGGGGAUCGAAAGACCUUAUGCUUUUUGGAGCGGCCGAUGUCUGAUUAGCUAGUUGGUGGGGUAAUUGCCCACCAAGGCGACGAUCAGUAGUUGGUCUGAGAGGACGACCAGCCACACUGGGACUGAGACACGGCCCAGACUCCUACGGGAGGCAGCAGUGGGGAAUUUUGGACAAUGGGCGCAAGCCUGAUCCAGCAAUGCCGCGUGCGGGAAGAAGGCC